RNAcentral lists this ribosomal RNA (506 nucleotides) under uncultured bacterium. RNAcentral's name for it is "partial 16S ribosomal RNA". It matches the Rfam family "Bacterial small subunit ribosomal RNA", at positions 28 to 523 of the family's 1533-position model. The record is from RNAcentral.
GAUGAACGCUAGCUACAGGCUUAACACAUGCAAGUCGAGGGGUAACGAGAGGAAAGCUUGCUUUCCUUGUCGACGACCGGCGCACGGGUGAGUAACGCGUAUCCAACCUGCCCCCAACUAGGGAAUAACCUUGCGAAAGUAAGACUAAUACCCUAUAAUUUCCUCAGAUGUCAUCUGACGAGGAAUAAAGAUUUAUCGGUUGUGGAUGGGGAUGCGUCUGAUUAGCUUGUUGGCGGGGUAAAGGCCCACCAAGGCAACGAUAAGUAGGGGUUCUGAGAGGAAGGUCCCGCACAUUGGAACUGAGACACGGUCCAAACUCCUACGGGAGGCAGCAGUGAGGAAUAUUGGUCAAUGGGCGGAAGCCUGAACCAGCCAAGUAGCGUGCAGGAUGACGGCCCUAUGGGUUGUAAACUGCUUUUAUACAGGAAUAAAGUUAGCCACGUGUGGUUAUUUGUAGGUACUGUAUGAAUAAGGACCGGCUAAUUCCGUGCCAGCCGCCGCAGUAA